UACAUGUGGGGCAAGCGUUGUUCGGAAUUACUGGGCAUAAAGGGUGCGUAGGCGGCGCGUCAAGUCACUGGUGAAAGUUUGCGGCCCAACCGUAAAAUUGCCGGCGAUACUGGCGUGCUCGAGUGCGUGAGGGGUUGGGGGAACGAGUGGUGUAGCGGUGAAAUGCGUAGAGAUCACUCGGAAGGCCAGAGCCGAAGGGGCCCAACUGGUACGCAACUGACGCUGAGGCACGAAAGCGUGGGGAGCAAACAGG
This 253-nucleotide ribosomal RNA is filed under the name uncultured bacterium. Its description in RNAcentral is "partial 16S ribosomal RNA". It matches the Rfam family "Bacterial small subunit ribosomal RNA", at positions 524 to 776 of the family's 1533-position model. The record is from RNAcentral.